This 497-nucleotide ribosomal RNA is filed under the name uncultured bacterium. RNAcentral's name for it is "partial 16S ribosomal RNA". It matches the Rfam family "Bacterial small subunit ribosomal RNA", at positions 29 to 507 of the family's 1533-position model. The record is from RNAcentral.
AAUGAACGCUGGCGGCGUGCCUAAUACAUGCAAGUCGAGCGAACAGACGAGGAGCUUGCUCCUCUGACGUUAGCGGCGGACGGGUGAGUAACACGUGGAUAACCUACCUAUAAGACUGGGAUAACUUCGGGAAACCGGAGCUAAUACCGGAUCAUAUAUUGAACCGCAUGGUUCAAUAGUUAAAGACGGUUUUGCUGUCACUUAUAGAUGGAUCCGCGCCGCAUUAGCUAGUUGGUAAGGUAACGGCUUACCAAGGCAACGAUGCGUAGCCGACCUGAGAGGAUGAUCGGCCACACUGGAACUGAGACACGGUCCAGACUCCUACGGGAGGCAGCAGUAGGGAAUCUUCCGCAAUGGGCGAAAGCUUGACGGAGCAACGCCGCGUGAGUGAUGAAGGUCUUCGGAUCGUAAAACUCUGUUAUUAGGGAAGAACAAAUGUGUAAGUAACUAUGCACGUCUUGACGGUACCUAAUCAGAAAGCCACGGCUAACUACGUG